RNAcentral lists this ribosomal RNA (253 nucleotides) under uncultured bacterium. RNAcentral describes it as "partial 16S ribosomal RNA". It matches the Rfam family "Bacterial small subunit ribosomal RNA", at positions 524 to 776 of the family's 1533-position model. The record is from RNAcentral.
UACGGAGGGGACUAGCGUUGUUCGGAAUUACUGGGCGUAAAGCGCACGUAGGCGGAUUUGUAAGUCAGGGGUGAAAUCCCGAGGCUCAACCUCGGAACUGCCUUUGAUACUGCAAAUCUCGAGUCCGGAAGAGGUGAGUGGAAUUCCUAGUGUAGAGGUGAAAUUCGUAGAUAUUCGGAAGAACACCGGUGGCGAAGGCGACUCACUGGACAUGUAUUGACGCUGAGGUGCGAAAGCGUGGGGAGCAAACAGG